CCUACGGGAGGCAGCAGUGGGGAAUAUUGGACAAUGGGGACAACCCUGAUCCAGCCAUGCCGCGUGUGUGAAGAAGGCCCUCGGGUUGUAAAGCACUUUCAGUGAGGAAGAACGCCUGGUGGUUAAUACCCAUCAGGAAAGACAUCACUCACAGAAGAAGCACCGGCUAACUCCGUGCCAGCAGCCGCGGUAAUACGGAGGGUGCGAGCGUUAAUCGGAAUUACUGGGCGUAAAGCGCGCGUAGGUGGCUUGAUAAGCCGGUUGUGAAAGCCCCGGGCUCAACCUGGGAACGGCAUCCGGAACUGUCAAGCUAGAGUGCAGGAGAGGAAGGUAGAAUUCCCGGUGUAGCGGUGAAAUGCGUAGAGAUCGGGAGGAAUACCAGUGGCGAAGGCGGCCUUCUGGACUGACACUGACACUGAGGUGCGAAAGCGUGGGUAGCAAACAGGAUUAGAUACCCGAGUAGUC
Molecule: ribosomal RNA, 465 nt
Filed under: Vreelandella stevensii
Lineage: Bacteria; Pseudomonadati; Pseudomonadota; Gammaproteobacteria; Oceanospirillales; Halomonadaceae
Description: partial 16S ribosomal RNA
Rfam family: Bacterial small subunit ribosomal RNA
Source: RNAcentral